Molecule: microRNA, 22 nt
Filed under: Bombyx mori (domestic silkworm)
Lineage: Eukaryota; Metazoa; Arthropoda; Insecta; Lepidoptera; Bombycidae
Description: bmo-miR-3408
Source: miRBase by way of RNAcentral
CGACUAUCCGGUGUGAGUAGCG